Long non-coding RNA from Xenia sp. Carnegie-2017, 852 nucleotides. RefSeq lists it as uncharacterized. The record is from RefSeq and is a predicted model, not a curated record. Lineage: Eukaryota; Metazoa; Cnidaria; Anthozoa; Malacalcyonacea; Xeniidae. The transcript has 3 exons.
CAAGCCAACUUGCCCCACCCAACUCCAGCCUUCUAAGUCAAAAGUGUUUCUAAAAUUAGUGUUUUGACGUCUAUUAGUGAGAAAAAGGGUUUGCAUUUAUGAACGUACAAUCCGAAUCAGGCUGUCGGAUGUUCCAUUUGUAAUGCGGUAGCAAAAGCCAGUGACACGAUCAUACAGAAUGAGAAACGAAUAUAUCGAGGUACAGCAUUUGUCUGAUGUUUUUGACACAAAGCUAGGGGGCUUGGCUGUUGUGGUUUAGUCACGUCCAGCGAAGGAUAGUGAGUUUAAAAAGGUAGAAGAUUGCAGAAUUUAGAAUUGCUGGGUCAGAGAUCGAGAGGAAAACGAAAGACCGCACAGUAUCUACUAUAAAUGCAUUGUAAAAGUGAUGUUGUUUUUAGUGCUGUGCCAACUUGACACUAUGUGAGCAACAUGAAUUUAACCAUCAUUGUCGUAGUACUUUCCUGGAUGACCAGACUGAUAUAGAUAUUCCAUCACCGGCAUACUGGAAAGAAGCUCCACCGUCGGAAAAAAGUUACAAAAAAAAUUGCAAGAGUGGUUACAAAAAAGUAGAGUGGUUGAAUGAUUCAGGUAUGGAAAAGAAGCAAGCUGACGCAAUUUCUACUGGCAACCAGAAUAAAAUGUUGAAACUAAGCCUGGAAAUUUUAUUGUUGAUGAGAGGAAGAUUUAGUAUAAACGUCCCUCAGGCAAAGUAGAAAUCUCUUACGUACAUCUCAUUGAUUAUGUGACUUUCUAUUAAAAUCGUUUUGUUAUUGGACAAUUCAAUUUUAUUAUGUUAUUCAUGUAUAUGAGUGCAUGGUGAUGGCUGAAAAAAUCCAUUUCCAUUUGGUAAAA